AUUGAACGCUGGCGGCAGGCCUAACACAUGCAAGUCGAGCGGAUGAAGGGAGCUUGCUCUCUGAUUCAGCGGCGGACGGGUGAGUAAUGCCUAGGAAUCUGCCUGAUAGUGGGGGACAACGUUUCGAAAGGAACGCUAAUACCGCAUACGCCCUACGGGAGAAAGCAGGGGACCUUCGGGCCUUGCGCUAUCAGAUGAGCCUAGGUCGGAUUAGCUAGUUGGUGAGGUAAUGGCUCACCAAGGCGACGAUCCGUAACUGGUCUGAGAGGAUGAUCAGUCACACUGGAACUGAGACACGGUCCAGACUCCUACGGGAGGCAGCAGUGGGGAAUAUUGGACAAUGGGCGAAAGCCUGAUCCAGCCAUGCCGCGUGUGUGAAGAAGGUCUUCGGAUUGUAAAGCACUUUAAGUUGGGAGGAAGGGCAUUAACCUAAUACGUUAGUGUUUUGACGUUACCGACAGAAUAAGCACCGGCUAACUUCGUGCC
This 486-nucleotide ribosomal RNA is filed under the name uncultured bacterium. Its description in RNAcentral is "bacterial SSU rRNA". It matches the Rfam family "Bacterial small subunit ribosomal RNA", at positions 30 to 509 of the family's 1533-position model. The record is from RNAcentral.